RNAcentral lists this unclassified non-coding RNA (334 nucleotides) under soil metagenome. Its description in RNAcentral is "partial contains 5.8S ribosomal RNA, internal transcribed spacer 2, and large subunit ribosomal RNA". The stretch from base 1 to 121 matches the Rfam family "5.8S ribosomal RNA", at positions 35 to 154 of the family's 154-position model. The record is from RNAcentral.
GAUGAAGAACGCAGCGAAAUGCGAUAAGUAAUGCGAAUUGCAGAAUUCCAGUGAGUCAUCGAAUCUUUGAACGCACAUUGCGCCCCUUGGUAUUCCAUGGGGCAUGCCUGUUCGAGCGUCAUUUUGUACCCUCAAGCACUGCUUGGUGUUGGGCGUUUGUCCUGCAGAGGACUCGCCUGAAAGCGAUUGGCGGCCAACGUAGUCGUGGCAGAGCGCAGCACAAUCUCGCGUCUCUCCCCUCUGCGUCGGCGUCCAUGAAGCCCACAAUCUCAACGUUUGACCUCGGAUCAGGUAGGGAUACCCGCUGAACUUAAGCAUAUCAAUAAGCGGAGGA